Salmo salar (Atlantic salmon) is the source of this 58-nucleotide non-coding RNA. The record is from Rfam. Lineage: Eukaryota; Metazoa; Chordata; Actinopteri; Salmoniformes; Salmonidae.
UGGCUCAGUUGGUAGAGCAUGGUGUUUGCAACGCCAGGGUUGUAGGUUCGAUUCCCAC